Molecule: long non-coding RNA, 305 nt
Organism: Poecilia latipinna (sailfin molly)
Lineage: Eukaryota; Metazoa; Chordata; Actinopteri; Cyprinodontiformes; Poeciliidae
Exons: 2
Source: RefSeq, a predicted model, not a curated record
ACGGACGGUUCCUUUCCGGGGUCGGAGGCGUGCUGAACGACGUCACCUGACAACAACAGCCACGUUUACCAUAGGAAGCCGAUGAGAUGCUCUUCAUGGAGAUCCCAAGUCUCCAAAUGCCAGGAAUCGUAUCACUCACAGACCUUUUAGAGAGCCAGAAUGGUCGCCAUGACAACGCCCGUUUGUAUGUGCAGAGCUGAUGGGAUGAAAAAGCUUCAUGGAGGAAACAAGACAACUAGUUGAUUAUAAAGUCUUUGUGUUCUUGUUGGUGAAAAAAAACGUUAAAAAUGUUGAUUUUUGACCGA